GACGAACGCUGGCGGCGUGCUUAACACAUGCAAGUCGAACGGAAAGGCCCUGCUUUUGUGGGGUGCUCGAGUGGCGAACGGGUGAGUAACACGUGAGUAACCUGCCCUUGACUUUGGGAUAACUUCAGGAAACUGGGGCUAAUACCGGAUAGGAGCUCCUGCUGCAUGGUGGGGGUUGGAAAGUUUCGGCGGUUGGGGAUGGACUCGCGGCUUAUCAGCUUGUUGGUGGGGUAGUGGCUUACCAAGGCUUUGACGGGUAGCCGGCCUGAGAGGGUGACCGGCGACAUUGGGACUGAGAUACGGCCCAGACUGCUACGGGAGGCAGCAGUGGGGAAUAUUGCACAGUGGGCGGAAGCCUGAUGCAGCAACGCCGCGUGCGGGAUGACGGCCUUCGGGUUGUAGACCGCUUUCGCAUGUGACGAAGAGUGAGUGACGGUAAUGGGUAAAGAAGCACCGGCUAACUACGUG
RNAcentral lists this ribosomal RNA (468 nucleotides) under uncultured bacterium. Its description in RNAcentral is "partial 16S ribosomal RNA". It matches the Rfam family "Bacterial small subunit ribosomal RNA", at positions 28 to 507 of the family's 1533-position model. The record is from RNAcentral.